GCGUAGGGCCUUCUCAAUUUUGCCAAGGUUGGGGUCGAGGGUUCGAAUCCCUUCGCCCGCUCCA
RNAcentral lists this transfer RNA (64 nucleotides) under Sphingobium yanoikuyae. RNAcentral describes it as "tRNA-Gly(gcc)". Lineage: Bacteria; Pseudomonadati; Pseudomonadota; Alphaproteobacteria; Sphingomonadales; Sphingobiaceae. RNAcentral also lists the same sequence under 1 other name. The record is from RNAcentral.